AAAUAUCAAAUUUUAAUCGGUUUUGUUCGGAUUGCGGUUUGAUUUGACCUUUUAACUAUAACCAUGAACAACCCUACGCAUAAGAUCCUACCCGUGGGAGGGGAACUACAACUAGAAACAGUUGCUAAUAUCCCAUAGGCUGAGGAGCAAAAGGAGGAAUCCGCUCAAGGAGGGGCUCAUGUGUGAUUAGCUAGUUGGUGAGGUAAUAACUUAACAAGGUGAUUAGCAGUAGCUAGUACAUGAGGAUGAUCAGCCAUACUAGGACUAAGACACAACCUAGACUCCUACGGGAGGCAGAAGUUGGGAAGUUUCUGCAAUGGGCGAAAGACUGAUGGAACAAUGUCGCAUGGAGGUAGAAGUCCCACGGGUCAUGAACUUCUUUUCCCGGAGAAGAAGAAAUGAAAGUAACUAGGGAAUAAACAUCGACUAACUCUAUGCCAGCAGCCGCGGUAAUACAGAGGAUGCAAGCACUAUCUGAAAUGAUUGGGUGUAAAAUAUCUGUAGGUAGCUUUUUAAGUCUGCCGGCAAAUCCCAGGGCUCAACCUUGGACAAGGGGAGGAAACUACCAAGAUGGAGUAUGUUAGGGGCAUAGGGAAUUUCUAUUAGAGCAGUGAAAUUCAUAGAGAUCAGAAAGAACACCAACAGCAAAAGCACUUAGCUAGGCCGACACUGACUCUGAGAGACAAAAGUUAGGGGAGAAAAUGGGAUUAGAUACUCUAGUAUUCCUUGUCAUAAAUGAUGUAUACUAGGCGUUGUGCGUAUCGACCCAUCUAGUAAUAUCGAUAACACGUUAAGUAUCCCGCCUAGGGAGCACAUUCGUAAGAAUGAAACUCAAAGGAAUUUACAAGGGGCUACACAAACGGUGGAGCAUGUGGUUUAAUUCUAUGCAAAGUGAAGAACCUUACCAAGGCUUGACAUGCCGCAUUUUCUCUUGAAAGAUAAGGGUGCCUUCAGGAUCACAGACACAAGUUGUGCAUGGAUAUCACAGCUCGUGUUGUAAGGUGUUGCCUUAAGUCCUGUAACGAUCGCAAACCUCAUGUUUAGUUGCCAUCUUUUAGUUUGGAAACCUGAACAGACUGCCAGUGAUAAGUCGAAGGAAAGGUAAGUAUGAUCUCAAGGCAUCAUGCCCAUUAUACCUUGGGUGACACCUGUGCUAAAAUGGCUGGGACAAAGGGUCGUGAUACCACGAGGGUAAGAUAACCCCAAAAACCCAUCCUCAAUUCAAAUUGCAAGUUGCAUUUCACCUACAUGAAGUCGAAAUCGCUAGUAAUCAUCGUUCAGCCAUACGAUGGUAAAUUCAUUUAUGGGCUUUGUACAUACCGCUCAUCACAAUAUGGGAGAUGGCCAUGCCCGAAGUGGUUACCUUAAUUUGACGGAGGGGGAUGCCAAAGACAGGGCUAGUGACUGGAGUGAAAUCGCAACAACAUAGCCAUAUUGGAAGGUCCGGCUGGAUCACCUCAUUU
Non-coding RNA from Solanum tuberosum (potato), 1463 nucleotides. NCBI's taxonomy places the organism in Eukaryota, Viridiplantae, Streptophyta, Magnoliopsida, Solanales, Solanaceae. The record is from Rfam.